UGGGUGGCCGUACCCACUGGGAACCAUGGAGUUGGUUCUCACCCCACGUGGUUUUGGGGUGUUUUCAGGUUGUACGUGUGCAGCGCGGUGGCGUUAGGCGAGGGCGUAGUUCAGUAGAUAGCGCCCUACCAUAGAGACCGAGGUAGCAGUACUCUGAGGCAGUCUAGCUUAGGGGACUAGAAGGCAAGGAAUCAAAAUGUAUCAAAUUUGUAAAAUAAAUGAUGUAAUAAAUGCGAUUGUAAUUUGGAAGAAGAAUGUAAUAUGAAACUGAGAUGUACUAGGUAAUGGCUAAUGAAUGCUUGUAAUAGCGUUAGUUUUAUGUAUUUGAUACUUCCUUUGCAAUCUGGAUUGACAUCCGUUCCCGUUUGGAACAUCCUUGUAUUCUGUUUUGAUUGCGACGCCUAGAACGUACAGGGGAGACU
This 422-nucleotide long non-coding RNA is filed under the name Ananas comosus (pineapple). RNAcentral's name for it is "long non-coding RNA (ACOM_LNC038341)". The record is from RNAcentral. Lineage: Eukaryota; Viridiplantae; Streptophyta; Magnoliopsida; Poales; Bromeliaceae.